GCUAGUGUUGGAGGGUUUCCGCCCUUCAGUGCCGGAGCUAACGCAUUAAGCACUCCGCCUGGGGAGUACGACCGCAAGGUUGAAACUCAAAGGAAUUGACGGGGGCCCGCACAAGCGGUGGAGCAUGUGGUUUAAUUCGAAGCUACGCGAAGAACCUUACCAGGUCUUGACAUCUUGCGCCAACCCUAGAGAUAGGGCGUUUCCUUCGGGAACGCAAUGACAGGUGGUGCAUGGUCGUCGUCAGCUCGUGUCGUGAGAUGUUGGGUUAAGUCCCGCAACGAGCGCAACCCUUGUUACUAGUUGCCAGCAUUAAGUUGGGCACUCUAGUGAGACUGCCGGUGACAAACCGGAGGAAGGUGGGGACGACGUCAGAUCAUCAUGCCCCUUAUGACCUGGGCUACACACGUGCUACAAUGGACGGUACAACGAGUCGCGAACUCGCGAGGGCAAGCAAAUCUCUUAAAACCGUUCUCAGUUCGGACUGCAGGCUGCAACUCGCCUGCACGAAGUCGGAAUCGCUAGUAAUCGCGGAUCAGCAUGCCGCGGUGAAUACGUUCCCGGGCCUUGUACACACCGCCCGUCACACCAUGAGAGUUUGUAACACCCAAAGUCGGUGGGGUAACCUUUUAGGAGCCAGCCGCCUAAGGUGGGACAGAUGAUUAGGGUGAAGUCGUACAAAGGGGGAA
This 686-nucleotide ribosomal RNA is filed under the name Limosilactobacillus fermentum. RNAcentral's name for it is "bacterial SSU rRNA". It matches the Rfam family "Bacterial small subunit ribosomal RNA", at positions 815 to 1501 of the family's 1533-position model. Lineage: Bacteria; Bacillati; Bacillota; Bacilli; Lactobacillales; Lactobacillaceae. The record is from RNAcentral.